UACGUAGGUGGCAAGCGUUGUCCGGAUUUACUGGGCGUAAAGAGCGCGCAGGCGGUCGAUUUAGUCGCGUGUGAAAGCCCCCGGCUCAACUGGGGAGGGUCACGCGAUACUGAUCGACUCGAAGGCAGGAGAGGGUAGUGGAAUUCCCGGUGUAGUGGUGAAAUGCGCAGAUAUCGGGAGGAACACCUGCGGCGAAGGCGGGUUGCUGGGCUGAUACUGACGCUGAGGCGCGAAAGCCAGGGGAGCGAACGGG
RNAcentral lists this ribosomal RNA (253 nucleotides) under uncultured bacterium. RNAcentral's name for it is "partial 16S ribosomal RNA". It matches the Rfam family "Bacterial small subunit ribosomal RNA", at positions 524 to 776 of the family's 1533-position model. The record is from RNAcentral.